This 450-nucleotide ribosomal RNA is filed under the name uncultured bacterium. Its description in RNAcentral is "bacterial SSU rRNA". It matches the Rfam family "Bacterial small subunit ribosomal RNA", at positions 354 to 796 of the family's 1533-position model. The record is from RNAcentral.
GUGGGGAAUAUUGGACAAUGGGCGAAAGCCUGAUCCAGCCAUGCCGCGUGUGUGAAGAAGGUCUUCGGAUUGUAAAGCACUUUAAGUUGGGAGGAAGGGCAGUAAGUUAAUACCUUGCUGUUUUGACGUUACCAACAGAAUAAGCACCGGCUAACUUCGUGCCAGCAGUCGCGGUAAUACGAAGGGUGCAAGCGUUAAUCGGAAUUACUGGGCGUAAAGCGCGCGUAGGUGGUUCAGCAAGUUGAAGGUGAAAUCCCCGGGCUCAACCUGGGAACUGCCUCCAAAACUACUGGGCUAGAGUACGGUAGAGGGUAGUGGAAUUUCCUGUGUAGCGGUGAAAUGCGUAGAUAUAGGAAGGAACACCAGUGGCGAAGGCGACUACCUGGACUGAUACUGACGCUGAUGUGCGAAAGCGUGGGGAGCAAACAGGAUUAGAAACCCCAGUAGUCC